Molecule: transfer RNA, 69 nt
Filed under: Gynaephora qumalaiensis
Lineage: Eukaryota; Metazoa; Arthropoda; Insecta; Lepidoptera; Erebidae
Also listed under: 1 other name
Description: tRNA-Phe
Source: RNAcentral
AUUUAAAUAGCUUAUAUUAUAGAGCAUAAUAUUGAAGUUAUUAAGGAAAUAUUUAUGUAUUUUUAAAUA